CGACCGGCGCACGGGUGAGUAACGCGUAUGUAAUCUACCUGUAACAGAGGGAUAACCCGGAGAAAUCCGGACUAAUACCUCAUAGCACAUAUUAUUCGCACGAAUUUUAUGUUAAAGAGACUCGGUUACAGAUGAACAUGCGUUCCAUUAGCUAGUUGGCGGGGUUACGGCCCACCAAGGCAACGAUGGAUAGGGGUUCUGAGAGGAAGGUCCCCCACACUGGUACUGAGACACGGACCAG
This 241-nucleotide ribosomal RNA is filed under the name uncultured bacterium. RNAcentral describes it as "partial 16S ribosomal RNA". It matches the Rfam family "Bacterial small subunit ribosomal RNA", at positions 92 to 334 of the family's 1533-position model. The record is from RNAcentral.